This 447-nucleotide ribosomal RNA is filed under the name uncultured bacterium. Its description in RNAcentral is "bacterial SSU rRNA". It matches the Rfam family "Bacterial small subunit ribosomal RNA", at positions 355 to 825 of the family's 1533-position model. The record is from RNAcentral.
UGGGGAAUAUUGGACAAUGGGCGAAAGCCUGACCCAGCAACGCCGCGUGAAGGAUGAAGUAUUUCGGUAUGUAAACUUCGAAAGAAUAGGAAGAAUAAAUGACGGUACUAUUUAUAAGGUCCGGCUAACUACGUGCCAGCAGCCGCGGUAAUACGUAGGGACCAAGCGUUGUUCGGAUUUACUGGGCGUAAAGGGCGCGUAGGCGGCAAUUCAAGUCAUCUGUGAAAUCUCCGGGCUUAACUCGGAACGGUCAGAUGAUACUGCUUUGCUAGAGUGCAGAAGGGGCAAUUGGAAUUCUUGGUGUAGCGGUGAAAUGCGUAGAGAUGUGGAGGAACACCGAUGGCGAAGGCAGCCCCCUGGGUUAACACUGACGCUCAUGCACGAAAGCGUGGGGAGCAAACAGGAUUAGAUACCCCUGUAGUCCCUGAGCGGGCUGGCAAGGCGCAU